UUUCCUGUAGCUCAGUGGUAGAGCGUCGGACCAGUGUGCGGAAGGACUCAUAGGUUCGACUCAUGUUGGGGGAA
This 74-nucleotide transfer RNA is filed under the name Desmophyllum pertusum. Its description in RNAcentral is "tRNA-Thr". Lineage: Eukaryota; Metazoa; Cnidaria; Anthozoa; Scleractinia; Caryophylliidae. The record is from RNAcentral.